AGUUAUUGAUCUUUAUCUAUGUAGUGAAUAGAAUUUUUUAUCAAAAAUUCAACAAAUUUCGAUUCUUUUACACCGUUAAACUAGCAAGUAUUCCAUACCGGCCGUUAAAAAUUGUCAAAUUUGUGACCUCUUGAUCGUAAGGUAAAUGAUGUCGAAAAAUUAUAAAAUUUGAUUUCUAGAAGUUUUAAAUGCUGUAAAUAACGUUUAACGGUGUGGAUCGUCGAUUCGGAAGCUCUAUCAUCGAAAACAACUUAUGAGUAUGAGGGCGAUCGUACUGAUAAUAGUAUAGUAGCCGGACCCAUAUAUAUAUAUAUAUAUAUAGAUAUAUAGAGUCCGGCUGCUAUGCUAUCGAUAGCACCAAGUAGUUGGUGCUAUCAAGUUUUCUG
This 386-nucleotide long non-coding RNA is filed under the name Ananas comosus (pineapple). RNAcentral describes it as "long non-coding RNA (ACOM_LNC009821)". The record is from RNAcentral. Lineage: Eukaryota; Viridiplantae; Streptophyta; Magnoliopsida; Poales; Bromeliaceae.